Long non-coding RNA from Bos taurus (domestic cattle), 1638 nucleotides. NCBI's taxonomy places the organism in Eukaryota, Metazoa, Chordata, Mammalia, Artiodactyla, Bovidae. The record is from Ensembl.
GUGAUGCCAAUACUUCUGGGGAGCACUAUCAGAGAACCACUGCCUGACAAAAGGGGUUUACUUUAGACCUGCAAAGAACCUCCUCAUGGUGGGACAGUGAGUCACAGUAUGUGGCAGCCUUGAGAGGAUGGGAUAGUGCACUUAACCACUGUGGUCUUCCUUGCAGAAAUAUACUCACCUGACAGAGGAGCCUGGUGGGCUGCCGUCUAUGGGGUGGCACAGAGUCGGACACGACUGAAGCAACUUAGCAGCAGCAGCAGCAGCAGUGUAUCACCCAGGUGGCGCUAGUGGUAGAGAAACUGCCUGCCAGUGCAGGAGAGUUCCAAGACAAUGUGCUCAAGGUGGUGGUUGAAAUGAAGGGCGGUCAGAGUCCUUUCCCCAGACAAUAUUUUGCUGCUGGUCCCCUCAGCCUUUUGGAUGCUUAUUGUUUACAGUUCCUGCCAUGGUAUCUGACGAGGUUCCAGACAAUAAGUAUCAACCAUACCUGGUAACAUGGAUACAAAGAUGAAAAAGAGAUGGUAGGACUGCCCUCGAGAAAUGUAGAGGAGAUAAACACCCAAGCAAACAAGCCAACAAAAUCCCAAACAGCCCCCAGUAAAGGCCAAUAGAAAGAGCUCCAGUGAGUAAGGGACUCGCCUUGCCCUUGGGGAGGGUAGACAGUAGAUGACUCCUUUCCUCUCUCAUUUAGUUUUCCUCCAGCUACUUCCCUGAUUUCUUCUACUUACAACUAACAAGCUUAAAUGGAAGAGAUUUGAAGUUCUGUGCAAGGUGCUGGGAGGUUUAGAAGGGCAGUAUUCUGUUCACCUGGCAGGAAUCUUGGGUUUCCUCUGAAAGCUCCUCUGGCAGGCUUGCCUGGCUGUGCGUCCAUGUCUACCGCCAAAACAAACAUGUUGCAGGGGUGUUGUUCAUGCAUUGCCCUCGAAAACUCUUGCUGUCACGGGAUCACCCUCUUCCUGCUGAUGGAUGGUCAUUAUCUGACUCUGUUGCCAUGGAGAGGGAUGGACUCAGGUGUGUUUUUCAAGCCUGCAUAUUCCCACUGGGGCUGCAACAAGGAUGCUUCUGUACGUCAUGUUUGGCAAGCCUGUGGCAGGCUGUGGCCAGGCUUUUCCUGCAGGUCAAACCUAAUCAACUGAUCAGCUGCAGAUCAUAUCAAGACCUCUGCUUGAUACGUUAUUAGUGACAGACAUGCUUCCAUAAUGAAUAUCAUGAUGUCAUUUGACCAUAACGUUGUUGAGGUGGGGAAAGAAAACACUCCAGUCAUCAGACUUGGGAUGAGAAGGGCUUGUGUUCACAGAAACACAACUUCACGUCACUGUUUCUCACGAAGGACUGUUUUGUUCUUGAAGACUGCUGCUCAUCCUCUGAUGUUGAUUUCCUAUGUUACAACGACCUCGAUUCGUAUGCCCUGGCAAGCAGCACAAGCACUGUUUCCUGUUUCUGAACUUGUAGACAACCAUCCAUACGUCUCAUGGUUGUCAAUUCAACCAGAUAACUGUGGCACCUCCUUGAUGCUUUUUUAAAGGACCUUGGAAAUGAAGUUUUUAAUUUUUUUGGAUAGGGUAUUCUUAAUUCAUUUGGCUAAAUUUUCAUAUGACUAAUAAUCUAAAAUGAAAGUAAGUAUAAACUUGUGUCCCUGUU